GCGCUCAAUCUGUCCAGCCCGCGAAUGAAGCUGUGGAUGACGUCUUGCAACAUUUCUAACUACUGAGGCACUGCGCACCCCUGAAACUUAUGAUUCUGCUGUUCAUGAUUUACAAUCUGAAGACCGUCAAGACAUCAAAGGAAUAAAGUAAUGACUGACUUGGAGACAACAUUUCUACGUACUGCCAUCACUGAGGUGUUGCCUAACCUUCCAGAGGCAACAAAAGACAUUUUAG
Danio aesculapii is the source of this 235-nucleotide long non-coding RNA. RefSeq lists it as uncharacterized. The record is from RefSeq and is a predicted model, not a curated record. The transcript is spliced from 3 exons. NCBI's taxonomy places the organism in Eukaryota, Metazoa, Chordata, Actinopteri, Cypriniformes, Danionidae.